This 240-nucleotide long non-coding RNA is filed under the name Numida meleagris (helmeted guineafowl). Its description in RNAcentral is "lncRNA (ENSNMEG00000012221.1)". Lineage: Eukaryota; Metazoa; Chordata; Aves; Galliformes; Numididae. The record is from RNAcentral.
UUGGGAAUAUUCAGUUUGCUGAGCUGCUGUUGAGCAACAGAGGGACUUGAUAGGCUUGUCUAUCUUCUGCUAAUAACGUUUGCAUCCCUUAGCUGUCAUCAGCCAAAAUGAACAAUGACCUUUCGAAAACACUCUGGAAAGGAGCAUGACACCAAGCACAGAGGUCUGCCAUCUUGAAGCACAGUAAGUGCCCUAAAAAGCUGCCAACAGAAGAAGUGGGUGGAGAGCUGCACACAGAAC